UUAGUCUUCGGGAACCCUAGCCUACGGUGUCUUUCUCCUCUCCUCAUCACGCUAUCUCUUCACGUUCCCUCUCCUCACAAAAUCUCCUCUUCCUGAUCUCUUCACACAAUCUCCUCCACUCACACGUUUUUGCCUACCACCCCUUUGCACGAACCCCUCUCCUCAAAACUCCUCUCUGCCUAAACCUCUCUCGCUGAACAUCUCCGACGAACCCCUCUCCUGGAACUUCUCCUUCGAACUCCUCUCAGACUAACCCUCUCGUGGCUCAUCCUUUGCUCCUGUCGACUCGUCUCUCACUCUCUUGGCUGUUUCCUCGGUGAUCAAGCAAGAGGCGGCAUGGGAUUCUUUAGGAGCCUCACCCGACUGCCCGAAUCAACUGGGUUCAGCUUCAGUUCCACAUCCAAGCAGGUCACUGAGGGCGUCGACGCUUCCAAGCAGACCGUCAUCGUCACCGAUCUGAUUUGUUUCCGACUUGAUUUUGGUGCCUAAUUCAUCCAAACUCCCACUCUUUCCUCGCUGCUCGUUUGGUGAUGGCUCCUUUUUAUAUUGAAAAAACUUUUAAAAUGUUAAUUCUUAUUUUAAUUUACUAAUGUUGUUUGCUGAUCGCUAUACUAAUAUUAUGUCAAUGAAUGAGAAUCUCUCUUCUAGAUUUUGCUGAUCGCCUACACCAAAAUUCUGGAUUCUUGCAUUCAUUUCAAAUUGCUCGAAGACGGCAAAGAGAUCCAUCGCCAGAUCAUCAGUCACAGGUAUUUCGCCGGAAACUAUUCUCUUCUCGAAAAGAUUGUUCAGAUGUACAUAUCAUGCGGCGAGAUUGAGUCUGCCUGUCUCGCGUUCGACGAGUUACUGCAACCAAGUGUCUUCCUGUGGAACGCCAUGAUCAGGGCUUACGCUUGGAAUGGGCCCUUUGGUCGUGCCGUUGAGCUAUACCAGAGAAUGCUCGAUACAGGAAUCGAGCCGAACAAGUUCACAUUUCCGUUUGUCUUGAAGGCUUGUUUAGCUCUGGAGGCGCUUGCGGAUGGAAUUCUGAUACACGAGCACGCCAAGAAGGCAGGGCUGGAACUGGAUGUGUUUGUGUCUACUGCUUUGCUCGACAUGUAUUUGAAAUGUGGCUGCUUAGAGGAUGCACACGAGGUGUUUUGCAGAAUGCCCCAAAAAGAUGUUGUUGCAUGGAACGCUUUGGUCUCUGGUUACGCACUGAAUGGGAGGUACCAAGGAGCACAUGUCAUCAUUGGAGCAAGGAACAUGGAAGCUGCCAAUGUGGUAAAGGAGAAUAUCCAACAGAGUAUUCCAUCUGCCAAAGUUGAUGUCUCAGAGCUUGAACUUAGCUCACAAAAGUCUGCCCGAGCCUUCGCAGACAGAUUCAUUGAAAGGAACCUACCCCUCAACGUCUUGAUAAACAAUGCUGGCGUGAUGAACUGUCCUUAUAAACUCUCAGAAGAUGGUAUAGAGAUGCAAUUUGCUACAAAUCAUCUGGGUCACUUUUUGUUGACAAAUCUUCUACUUGAGAAAAUGAAAAAUAUAGCAAAGGAGUCAAGAAUCGAAGGGCGUAUUAUGAAUCUAUCAUCUGUAGCUCACAUUGGGAUUUGAAAAUGAUUAUCCCAUAUGUGACUCGACUGGACAAAAAUAGCAAAAUCGAGCACUUGAAUAAAAGAUCUAGUGUUUUGGCAGAUAAGCUGAGUCAAGCAUCAAGAAAUCAACUAAUUUUAGUGCCACAUAAUGUUGAUUAUCAUUGGAUUCUCACUAUCAUUGAUCCAUAUAAGGAGACAGUUUAUUUGUUGGAUUCGCUUAGUCAUCGCAUUCGUGACGAGGACUGGAAAUACGUAGUGGAUAUAAAAGGGAGAAAGCUGGGUUUGCAAGCUAAGUCUAUGAAAUUCUGUAUGUAGAAAAAGGACCAGUACGUGAAGAUUGUUGCACAUCCUGAUCACUUGAUCUAUUCAGAAAAGGACAAGUUAAUUUGCAUGGUUGUUGUCUGAUAAACUUAAUUUUGUGGUCUCAUCUUUUGUGAUGGUCAUGAACUUGUGGUAAUGUUGCGAUAGCUUGUAGUAAUUGUAGAAGUUUAUAAACUUAAGUGAAUGUACAUAUAUAUUGUACCAUUUUUUGGUUGAGACAAGAUGUAUAAAAGACAACUUAAUGUAUAUAUGUUGACAACGGUUUUUGCUAAUGUA
Molecule: RNA transcript, 2165 nt
Organism: Zingiber officinale
Lineage: Eukaryota; Viridiplantae; Streptophyta; Magnoliopsida; Zingiberales; Zingiberaceae
Gene name: pentatricopeptide repeat-containing protein At3g16610-like
Exons: 7
Source: RefSeq, a predicted model, not a curated record